This 433-nucleotide ribosomal RNA is filed under the name uncultured bacterium. RNAcentral's name for it is "partial 16S ribosomal RNA". It matches the Rfam family "Bacterial small subunit ribosomal RNA", at positions 29 to 507 of the family's 1533-position model. The record is from RNAcentral.
AACGAACGCUGGCGGCAUGCCUAACACAUGCAAGUCGAACGAGACCUUCGGGUCUAGUGGCGCACGGGUGCGUAACGCGUGGGAACCUGCCCUUAGGUUCGGAAUAACUCCCCGAAAGGGGUGCUAAUACCGGAUAAUGUCUUAGGACCAAAGAUUUAUUGCGUUAGGAUGGGCACGCGUUGGAUUAGCUAGUUGGUAGGGUAAAAGCCUACCAAGGCGACGAUCCAUAGCUGGUAUGAGAGGAUGAUCAGCCACACUGGGACUGAGACACGGCCCAGACUCCUACGGGAUGCAGCAGUGGGGAAUAGUGGACAAUGGGCGAAAGCCUGAUCCAGCAAUGCCGCGUGAGUUAUGAAGGCCUUAGGGUUGUAAAGCUCUUUUACCCGGGAUGAUAAUGACAGUACCGGGAGAAUAAGCCCCGGCUAACUCCGUG